CUGUAUUUUAUAGGUGGAAAUUCAAGUGAGGAAGCUUUAUUGUGUUAACAAGGCUAUUCCUGUACUGCCUAUCAAUAUUGAAGACGCAGCUAGAAGCGAGGCUGAAAUUGAAAAGGCUCUGCAGGCGGGCGAGCAACUUGUUCGUGUAAAUCAGGACACUCGCCUGAAUUACAGGGUUCUUGACUUGCGCACUCCUGCAAAUCAAGGAAUAUUUGAAGUCCAGUGUCAAGUUGAGGAGAUAUUUAGACAAUUUUUGUUAUCCAAAGGUUUCCGUGGGAUCCACACACCUAAACUGAUUGCGGGUUCUAGUGAAGGCGGUGCUGCUGUCUUCAGAUUGGAUUACAAAGGAACGCCUGCAUGCUUGGCACAGUCACCCCAGCUUCACAAACAGAUGGCCAUUUGUGGUGGUUUUAACCGUGUGUUUGAAAUUGGCGCAGUAUACAGAGCAGAAGAUUCUUUUACUCAUCGACAUCUGUGUGAGUUCAUUGGUCUUGAUGUUGAAAUGAGGAUUAAGAAGCACU
Salvia hispanica is the source of this 521-nucleotide non-coding RNA. NCBI's taxonomy places the organism in Eukaryota, Viridiplantae, Streptophyta, Magnoliopsida, Lamiales, Lamiaceae. The record is from RefSeq and is a predicted model, not a curated record.